AGUGAACGCUGGCGGCGUGCUUAACACAUGCAAGUCGAACGAGAACGGGUUAUAGCUUGCUAUAAUUGUCAGCUAAGUGGCGCACGGGUGAGUAAUGUAUAGGUAAUAUGCCUCUUACUAAGGGAUAACAAAUGGAAACGUUUGCUAAUACCUUAUACUCCUUAUUAACCUAAGUUAAUAAGGGAAAGAUUUAUUGGUAAGAGAUUAGCCUGUAUUGUAUCAGUUAGUUGGUGGGGUAAUGGCUUACCAAGACUAUGACACAUAACUGGUUUGAGAGGAUGAUCAGUCACACUGGAACUGAGACACGGUCCAGACUCCUACGGGAGGCAGCAGUGGGGAAUAUUGCACAAUGGACGGAAGUCUGAUGCAGCAACGCCGCGUGGAGGAUGACACAUUUCGGUGCGUAAACUCCUUUUAUAUGAGAAGAUAAUGACGGUAUUAUAUGAAUAAGCACCGGCUAACUCCGUGCCAGCAGCCGCGGUAA
This 484-nucleotide ribosomal RNA is filed under the name uncultured bacterium. RNAcentral's name for it is "partial 16S ribosomal RNA". It matches the Rfam family "Bacterial small subunit ribosomal RNA", at positions 29 to 523 of the family's 1533-position model. The record is from RNAcentral.